Molecule: ribosomal RNA, 460 nt
Filed under: uncultured bacterium
Lineage: Bacteria
Description: partial 16S ribosomal RNA
Rfam family: Bacterial small subunit ribosomal RNA
Source: RNAcentral
CCUACGGGUGGCAGCAGUGAGGAAUAUUGGUCAAUGGGCGCGAGCCUGAACCAGCCAAGUAGCGUGAAGGAUGACUGCCCUACGGGUUGUAAACCUCUUUUAUAAAGGAAUAAAGCGAGGCACGUGUGCCUUUAUGUAUGUCCCUUAUGAAUAAGGAUCGGCUAACUCCGUGCCCGCAGUCGCGGUAAUACGGAGGAUUCGAGCGUUAUCCGGAUUUAUUGGGUUUAAAGGGAGCGUAGAUGGGUUGUUAAGUCAGUUGUGAAAGUUUGGGGCUCCACCGUAAACUUGCACUUGAUACUGGCAGUCGUGAGUACAGGUGAGGUAGGCGGAAUUCGUGGUGUAGCGGUGAAAUGCAUAGAUAUCACGAAGAACUCCGAUUGCGAAGGCAGCUUACUAGACUGCCACUGACAUUGAGGCUCGAAAGUGUGGGUAUCGAACCGGAUUAGAUACCCUUGUAGUC